UCUGACAAGGAAGGUGUGUUUUUUUCCUCAUCCACCCCAAUAAUCCAGCGCUUUGCUUGCUAUUCCUCCAGGCUUACGAGACUCAGCUCCAGCAGAACCAAGAGGCAUUGAGGUCAGCCAGCGAGGCCUUGCUAGCUCAGGUUGAAAAGCUGAAUACCCACCUCAGGGAGGAGAGUCAGAAGGUGACAGCCCUGGAGAGCCAAGUAGAAGUCCUUUCUCCACUGCAGGGAAUGCUGCAAGAUUUUCAGGAGAGAGUCCGAGACCUGGAGAAGGAGCGAGAUUUGCUGAAGGAAGAUUACGACAAACUGCUGGAGAGCUGCCUCAGCAAUACCCAGCACCCCCUAGACGUGGUUCCUCAGAAGGACAGCGCCCCUUGCUUGGAAGAACAACUCAGCUCAGCAAUUGCAGAGAAGCAGAGGCUGCAGGAGCAGCUGGAGAAGG
Lacerta agilis (Sand lizard) is the source of this 441-nucleotide long non-coding RNA. RefSeq lists it as uncharacterized. The transcript is spliced from 4 exons. NCBI's taxonomy places the organism in Eukaryota, Metazoa, Chordata, Lepidosauria, Squamata, Lacertidae. The record is from RefSeq and is a predicted model, not a curated record.